This 496-nucleotide ribosomal RNA is filed under the name uncultured bacterium. RNAcentral describes it as "partial 16S ribosomal RNA". It matches the Rfam family "Bacterial small subunit ribosomal RNA", at positions 29 to 507 of the family's 1533-position model. The record is from RNAcentral.
AUGAACGCUGGCGGCGUGCCUAAUACAUGCAGGUCGAGCGAACAGACGAGGAGCUUGCUCCUCUGACGUUAGCGGCGGACGGGUGAGUAACACGUGGAUAACCUACCUAUAAGACUGGGAUAACUUCGGGAAACCGGAGCUAAUACCGGAUAACAUGUUGAACCGCAUGGUUCAACAGUGAAAGACGGUCUUGCUGUCACUUAUAGAUGGAUCCGCGCCGCAUUAGCUAGUUGGUAAGGUAACGGCUUACCAAGGCAACGAUGCGUAGCCGACCUGAGAGGGUGAUCGGCCACACUGGAACUGAGACACGGUCCAGACUCCUACGGGAGGCAGCAGUAGGGAAUCUUCCGCAAUGGGCGAAAGCCUGACGGAGCAACGCCGCGUGAGUGAAGAAGGUCUUCGGAUCGUAAAACUCUGUUAUUAGGGAAGAACAAAUGUGUAAGUAGCUAUGCACGUCUUGACGGUACCUAAUCAGAAAGCCACGGCUAACUACGUG